UUUUUCAAAUCCCUUUGCCAAUACUAUGUGUUUUGGAUGUUUUAGCAUUGUUAAAAAGGUUUUUCCUUAAUGCACUUAGGCUGCGAGUAUGCUGCAAGUAUAAAACCAUAUGUGAUACAUAUUAAAUAUUGAUAGUAUUUUUAGUCUGUUACUCAAGAAUGAUGAGAAUAAGUUGACCUUGUGUAAGAUGAAAGAUGUGGCCCGUCCAUGUAAUUAGAGGGACUUACGUUCCUUCAUUGAAAUUCUCCAAAUAGACUAAAAAUUUUGCCACAUAUCCAUGAAACUUCCUGAGAGGUAUCACAUUUAUGACUUAUUCAGUUUGGUCAUUUGUUCUUAAUUUCUUCUAUUGCUGAUUUAAUCGAUUCUCUUUUCCUUUAUUAUUAUGCUAUAUCCUUGGUUUAGGCCCUCUUUUUCUUACUAGUUAAAGCUAGAACCUUCUCAAGUAUCAUAUUUAUUACUUGAUGAUUUUUCCCUUUUAAAAAAUUCUUCAGGUUGCUUAAGAGGUUGGAUUUUCCAGACAUGAAGUUUAGCUUGUAC
RNAcentral lists this unclassified non-coding RNA (537 nucleotides) under Hevea brasiliensis (rubber tree). Lineage: Eukaryota; Viridiplantae; Streptophyta; Magnoliopsida; Malpighiales; Euphorbiaceae. The record is from RNAcentral.